GUCGCUCAGAAAUAACUCGCCCAAUAAGUGGCACAACCUCCAAAGUCAUCAGAAACCUGCAUUCAAGAGCACAGAAGGUGCUCAUUGAGUUGAAAUGGAGUUAAGUGGAGUUCAAAAAAGCUUCCAGAAGAUGGAUCUGUUUAAGCUGUAACUUGAAGGGUGAAGAAAUAGAAAGUCCAGGCAGAGGAAAUAGUAUGUUUUAUUUUACAUAGUCAUGUAGUUUUUAUCAGAUAUCUUUGCACACAUUAGAAAUAAUUUUGAGGCCGGGUGCAAUGGCUCAUGCCUGUAAUCCCAGCACUUUGGGAGGCCAAGACACAUAGAUCACCUGAAAUCAGGAGUUCAAGACCAGCCUGGCCAACAUGGCAAAACCAUAUCUCUACUAAAAAUAUGAAAAAUAGCCAGGCAUGGUGGCAUGCACCUGUAAUCCCAGCUACUCAGGAGGCUGAGGCAGAAGAAUCACUUGAACCUGGGAGGCGGAGCUUGCAGUGAGCUGAGAUCGCGCCAUUGCACUCCAGCCUGGGCAACAG
This 527-nucleotide long non-coding RNA is filed under the name Homo sapiens (human). Its description in RNAcentral is "HSALNT0191039". Lineage: Eukaryota; Metazoa; Chordata; Mammalia; Primates; Hominidae. The record is from RNAcentral.